ACCAUACUAUCUAUAGCCGUGCCCGGGCGCAACUCGAUCUCUCUCGUAACGGAUCUCGACGUUCACACACGUCCGCUCCCGACCCACUCGCGAUAGGAUCCUAGUCCUGAACCUCCGGGCGGCGUGCCCGCGCGAACGACGAUCGACACGGCAACACCACCGCCGCGUCGAUCCCGAACUCCCGCCCCUUCUUGGUCUUUGACGACCGGCACCUUUGACACCGUCGAUCGUCGUUACGACUGCAGCAAAACCGGCCCCCUUCGUCAAAAUUAUAAAAUUAAUAAAUCUUCUUUCGGCUCAAUAGAUAACAAAUUCUAUCUCAACUCAAAUUCAACGCGUUACCUACUUUCUUCAUUCUCGAUCAUCUAUCUACGGGUAACACAAACAUUAAUAUGUUGGCUACGGGGGAAGCCAGCACGAAGUCACAACAACACCUUUAUCAAUACUCCUUCCCUCGUACGCCACAACAUUAUCAAAUACACAGAUAUGUAUAACCCACGGCUAUAGAUAGUAUACUAUCUUUAAUCGUGCUCCACAGGUAAACAUAAUGUUGGACUGGGUGAGCUUACAUCACAGACUGGAAACGAAUUUUGUUCAGGUAGCUCUACUGUGAGUUUCCUCUUCACCGCCCUGUCACUGUUAAUUCUUCUCUCAAAUUUACUUAGUAUGGAUUAGACUGUUCAAAAUGGUGAUGGUAAAGGAUUGUCCAGAGUAUAAUAUUCUUUUCGAUGAUGAUUUUAAUAGUGAAUACUGUUGAACAUAAAAACGAUAAUAAUCUAUUCCUGUUUAUGUCUGUAUUCAGAAUAAUUGUUCUGAUGGGAAAUCAAUUACUACUUGCUCUUCAAAUAAUAAAAAUACUGUUAAACGUGCAAAUUGCAGUCUACCUACAUACUAAUGAAGAAAUUUCUGUGAUAAAUACAGUUCCUCAAUAAAUUCUAAUUUUCAAACAUUAUUUCAAUUACCUUCGCCUUCGUUCCAGUUCUGCGACAUUAAUAAUUCUUCAUGGUGCACCUCGAUGGUCUCCUCACAAAACACUCGGCCGACUAACAAUUUAAACACGAUCACCGUCUAUUGGUCCUGGAGGUUGAAGAGCGAUUUAAAUAAUACAAAUAAGAUAGUUCAAUAUAGAAAAUUGUGUAAAUGUGUACGUAAUAAGUGAUCAUUAGUGUGAGUGACUGUUUACAAAAUAAAUAGCUGAACGCUUCCUCAUUUUCA
Molecule: long non-coding RNA, 1215 nt
Organism: Acyrthosiphon pisum (pea aphid)
Lineage: Eukaryota; Metazoa; Arthropoda; Insecta; Hemiptera; Aphididae
Exons: 6
Source: RefSeq, a predicted model, not a curated record